RNAcentral lists this unclassified non-coding RNA (352 nucleotides) under soil metagenome. RNAcentral describes it as "partial contains 5.8S ribosomal RNA, internal transcribed spacer 2, and large subunit ribosomal RNA". The stretch from base 1 to 120 matches the Rfam family "5.8S ribosomal RNA", at positions 35 to 154 of the family's 154-position model. The record is from RNAcentral.
GAUGAAGAACGCAGCGAAAUGCGAAAAGUAAUGUGAAUUGCAGAAUUCAGUGAAUCAUCGAAUCUUUGAACGCACAUUGCGCCCGCUGGUACUCCGGCGGGCACGCCUGUCCGAGCGUCAUUUCAACCCUCAAGCCCUCCUUCGGGAUGGGCCUGGUGUUGGGGCUCGGCCGCCAUCUCCGGCGGCCGUCCCCUAAAUACAGUGGCGGUCACGUCGCGACUCCUUUGCGUAGUAGAAACACCUCGCUCCGGAUAGCAACGCGGUCCUCGCCGUAAAAUCCCCAAUUUUCAAUGGUUGACCUCGGAUCAGGUGGGAAUACCCGCUGAACUUAAGCAUAUCAAUAAGCGGAGGA